Molecule: ribosomal RNA, 253 nt
Filed under: uncultured bacterium
Lineage: Bacteria
Description: partial 16S ribosomal RNA
Rfam family: Bacterial small subunit ribosomal RNA
Source: RNAcentral
UACGUAGGGACCAAGCGUUGUUCGGAUUUACUGGGCGUAAAGGGCGCGUAGGCGGCAUGACAAGUCACUUGUGAAAUCUCUGGGCUUAACCCAGAACGGCCAAGUGAUACUGUCGCGCUAGAGUGCGGAAGGGGCAAUCGGAAUUCUCGGUGUAGCGGUGAAAUGCGUAGAUAUCUGGAGGAACACCGGUGGCGAAGGCGACAUCCUGGACCGGUAUUGACGCUGAGGCGCGAAAGCCAGGGGAGCAAACGGG